ACUCAAAUGAAUAGACGGGGGCCCGCACAAGCGGAGGAACAUGUGGUUUAAUUCGAUGAUACGCGAGGAACCUUACCUGGGCUUAAAUGUGGAGUGACAGGCUGUGAAAGCAGCCCUUCUUCGGACACUCUACAAGGUGCUGCAUGGUUGUCGUCAGCUCGUGCCGUGAGGUGUCGGGUUAAGUCCCAUAACGAGCGCAACCCUUAUCGUUAGUUGCCAGCGGGUCAUGCCGGGGACUCUAGCGAGACUGCCACCGUAAGGUGUGAGGAAGGUGGGGAUGACGUCAAAUCAGCACGGCCCUUAUGUCCAGGGCUACACACGUGUUACAAUGGCCGAUACAAAGGGCAGCUACCUCGUGAGAGGAUGCUAAUCUCCAAAGUCGGUCUCAGUUCGGAUCGAAGUCUGCAACCCGACUUCGUGAAGCUGGAUUCGCUAGUAAUCGCAUAUCAGCCAUGAUGCGGUGAAUACGUUCCCGGGCCUUGUACACACCGCCCGU
Molecule: ribosomal RNA, 496 nt
Filed under: uncultured bacterium
Lineage: Bacteria
Description: partial 16S ribosomal RNA
Rfam family: Bacterial small subunit ribosomal RNA
Source: RNAcentral